UCGUUUAUAUUUAUUUUUUCAGAUUGGUGUUGUUAUGCAUUGAUAUUAAAGAUAAAUUGAAUCAUCCGUAAUAUGAAAUGAUGACACAUAUGGUAAUUAUUUCCGGGUCCAGUUUACAGCUCAGGUUUCGUCCUUGACGGCGUCAUAGUGUCCUGAGUUAUGCGGAAGCUAAUUAAGGCACCUUCAGGGAUUAUAAUACAUUCUAAAAAUAAAUGAAAAUUAAUAAUCA
RNAcentral lists this unclassified non-coding RNA (229 nucleotides) under Melitaea cinxia (Glanville fritillary). RNAcentral's name for it is "misc RNA ENSMCXG00005000747.1". The record is from RNAcentral. Lineage: Eukaryota; Metazoa; Arthropoda; Insecta; Lepidoptera; Nymphalidae.